CCUACGGGUGGCAGCAGUGAGGAAUAUUGGUCAAUGGACGAGAGUCUGAACCAGCCAAGUAGCGUGAAGGAUGACUGCCCUAUGGGUUGUAAACUUCUUUUAUAUGGGAAUAAAAUGUUCCACGUGUGGGAUUUUGUAUGUACCAUAUGAAUAAGGAUCGGCUAACUCCGUGCCAGCAGCCGCGGUAAUACGGAGGAUCCGAGCGUUAUCCGGAUUUAUUGGGUUUAAAGGGAGCGUAGGUGGAUUGUUAAGUCAGUUGUGAAAGUUUGCGGCUCAACCGUAAAAUUGCAGUUGAAACUGGCAGUCUUGAGUACAGUAGAGGUGGGCGGAAUUCGUGGUGUAGCGGUGAAAUGCUGAGAUAGCACGAAGAACUCCGAUUGCGAAGGCAGUUCACUGGACUGCAACUGACACUGAGGCUCGAAAGUGUGGGUAUCAAACAGGAUUAGAUACCCUGGUAGUC
This 460-nucleotide ribosomal RNA is filed under the name uncultured bacterium. RNAcentral's name for it is "partial 16S ribosomal RNA". It matches the Rfam family "Bacterial small subunit ribosomal RNA", at positions 338 to 795 of the family's 1533-position model. The record is from RNAcentral.